RNAcentral lists this ribosomal RNA (408 nucleotides) under uncultured Methylomirabilota bacterium. RNAcentral describes it as "bacterial SSU rRNA". It matches the Rfam family "Bacterial small subunit ribosomal RNA", at positions 1026 to 1434 of the family's 1533-position model. The record is from RNAcentral. Lineage: Bacteria; Methylomirabilota (SeqCode).
GCUUGGAGACAGGUGGUGCAUGGCGGUCGUCAGCUGGGGUGGUGAGAUGGUGGAAUAAGUCCCGCAACGAGCGCAACCCUCACCCGUUGUUGGCAUCAGGUAAAGUUGGGCACUAUAGGGGAAAGGCCCCGGUCAACGGGGAGGAAGGCGGGGAUGACGUCAAGUCAUCAUGCCCCGCACUUCCUGGGCUACACACGUGGUACAAUGGCCGGUACAAAGGGAUGCAACGCCGUGAGGCAGAGCCAAACCCAAAAAGCCGGUCUAAGUUCAGAUUGGAGUCUGCAACUCGACUCCAUGAAGGAGGAAUCGCUAGUAAUAGCGUAUCAGCACGACGCGGUGAAUAGGUUGACGGGCCCAUACACACCGGCCAUCACACCACGAAAGCCAGCUGUAAUCGAAGUCGAUGAG